RNAcentral lists this long non-coding RNA (4940 nucleotides) under Sus scrofa (pig). RNAcentral's name for it is "lncRNA (ENSSSCG00005022340.1)". Lineage: Eukaryota; Metazoa; Chordata; Mammalia; Artiodactyla; Suidae. The record is from RNAcentral.
UUUUUGGCAUAUCUCAUUCUCUUGGUUCUUUCUGUAUCUAUUUAAUUUUAUACUGAUAAGGACCUUGACCUCAAAGUUCGAAUUUUCGAGAAAGGUUACACAUGAUUUUCAGACUUCUUUCUAGUAGCACUUGUGCAAGUAAAAUGCCAAAAUAUGAUGAUGUGGGUAAUUUUUAGUAAGAGAAAUAAUAAACACAUCAUUAAUUACAAAUAUCAGACCUCUUUCCUUUUGCCCCUCAAGUAGAAAGAACUGUUGUCAGAAUCUCAAAAAGAGAGUUUCAGAAUUCCAGACUUUGAGAGUUCCAAAAUUAGACGGGUAUGGAACUGCAAGUCAUCAAAGCGUCAGUCAAUCUCUGGUGUCUCUGAUAGAUAUUUUGAAGUGGGCCGACUAAGCUAAAAUGCCACUAAAGAUAACACACCAAAGUUAUUCUGAGACGUGAUAAGCUCCAGCCAACACCACACUGUUUCCUUCAUCCUUCAGUGUGUGACAACAGAUAGAGCUUAAAAUAAUUUUACAAGGACAAUAGCACAUGUCAAACGUUUGCUAACAAGUCCUUUAAAUUCCUCAUCUUCUGUGAUGCUUUUAGUCUUUACAUGUGAGAAAGUAAUGAAAAGGUCUCUACUAAAUAGAUAAUGCACAAAUCUUUCUGAAAUGUCUUGAGUUUUGAAUCCAAAAAGUGAGAAUAAAAUGUAUGUUAUAUAGAAAAGUAAUUCGUAUGCAAUUACAUAUUAGGACAAAAACUACAGAGAUGUCUUGGAGUUCCCAGCGUGGCUCAGUGGUUAAUGAAUCUGACUAAGAACCAUGAGGUUGCGGGUUGGAUCCCUGGCCUUGCUCAGUGGGUUAAGGAUCUGGCGUUGCCUUGAGCUGUGGUGUAUGUCGCAGACGCAGCUCGGAUCCUGUGCUGCUGUGGCUCUGACGUAGGCCGGCGGCUACAGCUCCGAUUCAACCCCUAGCCUGGGAACCUCCAUAUGCCGAGGAAGCGGCCCAAGAAAUGGCAAAAAGACAAAAAGACAAAAAAAAAAACCUACAGAGAUGUCUUAAAUCAAACCUUAUAAAUAAGCAAACUGGCAUUCCCGUCAUGGCACAGCAGAAACGAUCCGACUAGGAACCAUGAGCUUGCGAGUUUGACCCCUGGCCUCGCUCAGUGGGUGAAGGAUCCGGUGUUGCCGUGAGCUGUGGGGUAGGUCACAGACAUGGCUCGGAUCCUGAGUUGCUGUGGCUGUGGUGUAGGCUGGCAGCUACAGCUCUGAUUCGACCCCUAGCCUGGGGACCUCCAUAAGCUGUGGGUGCAGCCCUAAAAAGCCAAAACAAAAACAAAAAAACCCCAAAAAACAAAAUCAAAAUAAGCAAACUAAGAAAUGUCUUCAGAAGACAAUUCUAUUGAAUCAUUAUAUAAUUAUGUAAUAUUGCAUUAUUAUGUAAUUGAUAUGUGUAUAUUUGUGUGUAUGCCACAUAUGGUACCACUGACUUCAGCAAGGAAACAUGUAAGUAGAAGGUUUCCAUUCUGCAAACCAUUCUAUAGACACCUGGUACUGGUAUCAUUAUCAUUUUUCUGAAGAUUUAUGUUCCUGAAGAUUUACUGAAGAAUUUUUGAAUCAUGGUAUUCCAGACUCCAGGCCUUCUGAUCAUGCUGCAAUUCACCAAUCUCCAUUUUUCCUAACCUUUGUAAAGAUCUUAGCCCAGGGAUACUUAAUAUAUGGUUAAGAAUGAAUGAGUAAAGCAGCUGGCAAAUCCUCACUUCUUCAACAAUAAAGAAGCCACCUCUGACAACCAAAGCAAGUGAACAUGGCUGAGGAAAGUGACUGCUCAGUGCACUGGGCCGUCAGAGAGGUGCUCUAAUAGGUUUACAGCUUUUAUACAAUGCUGACUUCAGAGAAGGGGAAAGACCCAGAAAAUAGAACAGUGAGUCAAAGUACAAUCUAAAUUCGGUAGCACAAUAGCACUUUGGCCAUAGGGCAUCUGUACAGCGUGUGGGUGUGAGUGCUGGGGGAGGGGGGCGGUGUAGAAAGGGAGGAUAGAGAUAAGCUAUCGGAGGAAGCUAAGCUGACAUUUAGACUUCAACAGACCCUAAGAGCACCGAAAUGUCACGCUAAAGAUGUACCUGUUAUACCAAGGGUAGAACCAUCAUUUCUGGAGUUCCUGUCGUGGUGCAGCGGGAACAAAUCUGACUAGGAACCAUGAAGUUGCGGGUUCGAUCCCUGGCCUUGCUCAGUGGGUUAAGGAUCCAGCAUUGCCGUGAGCUGUGGUGUAGGUUGCAGAUGCGGCUCGGAUCCCGCGUUGCUGUGGCUCUGGCGUAAGCCAAUUAGACCCCUAGCCUGGGAACCUGCAUAUGCAGUGGGUCUGGCCCUUAAAGGGCAAAAGACAAAAAAAAAAAAAAAAAAGUAUCAUUUCCUUCAUAGGAAAUAGACUAUAUUAUAUGAGUUAAUAUAUAGAAAUCAGAGCAAUGACUUAGCUAUUGUUAAUUAUAUGAAGGUGUUCCAGUAUUUGGCUCUUGUCCUGAUUUUCACCAUCUCCCUAGGCACCCAUUACGGAGAUGUGAAGUGUACCUCAGACAAUGAAUGUUAUUUAAAAAGUUCACUCAAAAACAGACUUAUUGUACAGGAAAAAUAAAAAACUCUCAGACUACUAUGAAAGGUUCAUGUGUCCAACACCCAGAAUUCAAUCCAAACUAGAAAAUUAAAAAACAAAACCCAAAACGCCUCUCAAGAUUUUUGUAACAUGGUCAUAUAUGUCAAAAGCAGAAGAGAGCCUGAGGAAGACUUUGCAAGCACUGAAAUAAAGGUCAGCUUGAAUUCUUAUGCUCGUCAAGGAUGCUCUCUGACACACCACGACUCUGCAAGUGAGACAGAAGGGCAGGGGGACAGAAAGUGUCUGCUUUUUACUCUGCUAACCAUUUCUUUAAAAAUCAAAGAUAGUGUUUUCAAUCUCGGCAUGAUGUGAUGACAUUUCAAAGACAAUGCUAUAGUGAAGAAUCAGAUUUUUUAAGAAGGAAAAAGCUAUUUUGGAAAUCUUUGCUUCUGUCUCUGAAGCACAAACUACUUCUAGAUAGAGGUAGGCACUUAAUGUCCAAAGGGAUCAUCCUUUAGGGGCAGAGGCAAAUUAAAAGCCACAACAGCAAUGCUGACAUUCAUGGCAUCUCAGAAAAGCUGGACUCAAGUUGCAUUCAGCUGACCCAGGGCCCCCGUUAUCCUCCGUGUGUGCUACAGGAGGGACAAAAGAGAAGCAACGCUGAUUGAGUGCAUUCAACACUUUAUCCAAAUAAACCCUGACACCUGUAAGGUCUGUUCUCUUCUAAACAUGAAGAACGAGCAUAUCCUCUGACCUACCAAUUCCAUUUCCCUAUCAGCUUCUCCCACAUACAAUACUCCCACAUGAAGGAAAUGCAGCACAUUUAAAGUGAGCCAUUAAAGCACUGUUAAGAGCAAACUAAAUGUCCAUCAUUAGGAAAUGGGUGCAAUGUAUUCUGGUACACCCAUAUCAUGGAACAUUGUGUGCCUAGUUUUUAAAUAAAUGAGUUUUAAUUACUGACACAGAAAGCUCCCCUCAAUCAGCCGAAGUUAAAAAAGCAAGCGAUAAAAUAGUACGCAUAGUAUCUACUAUCUGUAGGAAAUGUACAUGCAUGAAAUAUCUCUGUAAAAAUACAACUGCAAAAUGCUUCAAUAUAGGGACGUAUCAAAAUACAUUAAACUGUCUCCAACUGGUUGCUCUAAGGAAGAAACUUUGGUGACUGAGAGACAGGAAGCAGGGAAACAAAUUUUCAAAGAAAAAGCUUUGUACCUAUAGGAUUCUGAACAACAUGAAUAUACUGCUCAUUUAAAAAUUAAUUAGUUAACAAAAUUGUGUGUUUUUUGAAAGAAGAAGAAAAACCAAAAUUUUCCUAAGGUCCCCAGGGGUUGGAAAAGGCAGACCCAGAGACCUAAAUUUUGGACCAACACCCAAAUUCAUUUUUUAUUACACCAUGCUGCCAUUUUAACUGCAUCUUGGGCACCUUAUGGCAAAUGGUGCCUAUAAAAAAAAGAUUCUCAACUCCCAGAAAUGCUACCAGGAAGUGUACUCCAUCUACUUUCUAAUACAGAAAUCAAGUAAAUGUUACCAGGAUAAACUUCAGCUCCGACUCACUGACACUGAAGGCAUAUUCUUUCCAUUGUAUCAUGACGUCUUCAGCUAAAGGGAGUAACUCAUUUACCCAAAAGAUUCACAGAGUAAUAAUUUGCUAUAGCUGAGAAAUUUUCUCAGGUUUUAACUAAAUUUUCCUAGCUCCAGAUUAUCAUAUGUGUAAUUUCAAAAUAUUUUUGCUAGAGGUAGUCACGCUUUCAAGAGUAAUGCCUUGAAUAUUCUGGACUAUUCAGAUGCCAAAGCUCUUUAAGUAACUUCAGUCAUUCAUUCUUACGGUUUAAUCAAUGAAGCAUAAAAGAUUUCUAGAUCUUUCUGAAAAAGCUUACAAUAGAAGAAAAGAGCGUGAAUCCUCGUUUCCAGUGCGGUUUCCGAUUUUGACUCCUGAUUUCUAGUACAGUUUCCAAAAUAGAGAAUUUUUUAAUGCAUUCUCUUUCUCUAAAAGAAAAAUUCAAAACUAAAUAAAUAUAAAUAUGUUAAAAUACAAGUGCCAACUGUCAGAGCACCUGUCCAUCAAGGGGCCUUGUUUGGGAACACAUUCUAACAGGCAAUUUAACAAGAGAAUGAGAAUGCAUACAUAAAAGGUAGAAGUCAAGGAGUGAAAAAGAAAAAGAAAGGAAGAAAUGAAGGAGUACAUAAGUCAUUUGCAACUAACUGUACAUAGUUAGUUGUACAGAAUCUCCUGACUGUACCUAAGAAUAUGAAGCAUCAGGCAUUAUAUCGGCCCAAACACAGUACUAGCAUGCAAAUCAAGGAACAACGUUAACUCUGCAUACAGUGUCCUAAACCUUAAGACAGAGCAAAUAUGCAUAAAAUGGAUGUUUCCU